RNAcentral lists this ribosomal RNA (467 nucleotides) under uncultured bacterium. Its description in RNAcentral is "partial 16S ribosomal RNA". It matches the Rfam family "Bacterial small subunit ribosomal RNA", at positions 28 to 506 of the family's 1533-position model. The record is from RNAcentral.
GACGAACGCUGGCGGCGUGCUUAACACAUGCAAGUCGAACGGAAAGGCCCUGCUUUUGUGGGGUGCUCGAGUGGCGAACGGGUGAGUAACACGUGAGUAACCUGCCCUUGACUUUGGGAUAACUUCAGGAAACUGGGGCUAAUACCGGAUAGGAGCUCCUGCUGCAUGGUGGGGGUUGGAAAGUUUCGGCGGUUGGGGAUGGACUCGCGGCUUAUCAGCUUGUUGGUGGGGUAGUGGCUUACCAAGGCUUUGACGGGUAGCCGGCCUGAGAGGGUGACCGGCCACAUUGGGACUGAGAUACGGCCCAGACGCCUACGGGAGGCAGCAGUGGGGAAUAUUGCACAAUGGGCGGAAGCCUGAUGCAGCAACGCCGCGUGCGGGAUGACGGCCUUCGGGUGGUAAACCGCUUUCGCCUGUGACGAAGCGUGAGGGACGGUAAUGGGUAAAGAAGCACCGGCUAACUACGU